This is an RNA transcript of Esox lucius (northern pike), 547 nucleotides long. RefSeq lists it as uncharacterized. The transcript is spliced from 5 exons. NCBI's taxonomy places the organism in Eukaryota, Metazoa, Chordata, Actinopteri, Esociformes, Esocidae. The record is from RefSeq and is a predicted model, not a curated record.
AAAGGUUUGAGGAAUCAGUAAAUCCGGGCUACCACUCAACCGCUCCCUGAUCCCCACAGACAGACAGACCGACUCUUUGAUGAGGAGACCUGUUGUUGCUGUGUGAGAGGAAGCGGAGGGACCGUGAAGAGUGGGUGUCUCUGGUGUUAUGGAAGAAACCGCUUGUGACGCUACACUACUUCCUGUUAGAGCUGCUCGUUACACUGGAGAACUGGACGUGGAGGUGACACGCGCAAGUCGUUAUGGCGGAGGAGACAUUCAGGGUUAGCUCUGCUGGCGCUGGUCAACAUCUUCGCCAUUGCAUGCUGUGUUGAAGGAACACACCAGAAGCACGUGGAGAAAAGGUUCCUGUGGUGUUCCUACUGGAUCGGAUUGGGCAUCCUGUCCUCUGUGGGUCUGGGGACUGGUCUGCACACCUUCCUCCUGUACCUGGGUUCUCACAUAGCAUCAGUGACCCUAGAAGUGUAUGAAUGUGGAUCAGUAGACUUCCCAGAACCGCCCAAUCCUGAACAGAUCAUCUGCCCCCAGGAGGAGAUACGGGGGGGGG